GACAGAGGGUGCGAACGUUGCUCGGAAUUACUGGGCGUAAAGCGUGUGUAGGCGGCCGCGCGCAUCGGGUGUGAAAGCCCGGGGCUCAACCCCGGAAGUGCAUCCGCGAUGGCGCGGCUAGAGUGUCGGAGAGGAGAGCGGAAUUCCCGGUGUAGAGGUGAAAUUCGUAGAUAUCGGGAGGAACACCAGUGGCGCAGGCGGCUCUCUGGACGAACACUGACGCUGAGACACGAAAGCGUGGGGAGCAAACAG
RNAcentral lists this ribosomal RNA (252 nucleotides) under uncultured bacterium. Its description in RNAcentral is "partial 16S ribosomal RNA". It matches the Rfam family "Bacterial small subunit ribosomal RNA", at positions 524 to 775 of the family's 1533-position model. The record is from RNAcentral.